UAUAGGUAGGAGAGUGCUUGGGUAGUAGUGGUGUCACAGAAGGCAUGGAGUUUAGAUUCAGGAAAUCUGGAUGUAGACCUCAGCAUACCACUAGCCAUAUGAUGUUGGAAGUAUCCUCAACUGUGAAACAGCUUUCCUGCUCCUCUUUCUGGUCCACAGCUGGUGCUGUUGGUUCAUAUAAGGAGCUUAGAAAUGGAAAACCACUUAAAAUACUGCAAUACCACCAAAGCAAAUGAGCACCUUUUCUCUUUGGUUAUUUUGUUACAUCUUUUUCCUUUUGUUGCUGACCUCGGUGCUUCGGGAGGAAUAGCAAAAGGCAAAAAGACUCCUGUGGAAGGUGGAACUCUUGGUCCGUUUUCCGGAGUGUGUUUCCAAGCCCAUCAAGGAAACUUGAUACUGCUGCUCUGUGUUGAAGUGCUUGAAGAACAUCACCUCUCCGCCGGUGCCCUCCAUCCUGCUGAAACCAUGGUCUUCUCUGCAGUGUUGACUGCUUCCCAUACGGGAGCAUCCAACACAACGUUCGUAGUUUAUGAAAACACCUACAUGAAUAUUACGGUCCCUCCACCCUUCCAGCAUCCCGGCAUUGGUCCACUGCUUAGAUACAGUCUUGGAACCAUAGCUCCCACUGGGAUGAGUUCGUUGACAGUGAAUAGCACAGCCGUGCCCCCAACACCAGCAGUUUUUAAGGGCCUAAACUUGCCUCUGCAAAUCAUCCUUUCUGCUAUAAUGAUAUUUAUUCUGUUUGUGUCUUUUCUUGGGAACUUGGUUGUUUGCCUCAUGGUUUACCAAAAAGCGGCCAUGCGAUCUGCCAUUAACAUCCUCCUGGCCAGCCUGGCUUUUGCAGACAUGUUGCUUGCAGUGCUGAACAUGCCCUUUGCCUUGGUCACUAUUCUCACUACCAGAUGGAUUUUCGGCAAAUUCUUCUGUAGGGUAUCUGCCAUGUUUUUCUGGUUGUUUGUGAUAGAGGGAGUAGCCAUCCUGCUCAUCAUUAGCAUUGACAGGUUUCUUAUUAUAGUCCAGAGGCAGGAUAAGCUAAAUCCGUAUAGGGCUAAGGUUCUCAUCGCAGUUUCUUGGGCAACUUCUUUUUGCGUAGCUCUUCCUUUGGCAGUAGGAAACCCUGACCUGCAGAUACCUUCCCGAGCCCCCCAGUGUGUGUUUGGGUACACGACCAGUCCGGGUUACCAAGCUUAUGUGAUUUUGAUUUCUCUCAUUUCUUUCUUCAUCCCCUUCCUGGUGAUCCUGUAUUCAUUUAUGGGCAUACUCAACACCCUUCGGCACAAUGCCUUGAGGAUCCAUAGCUACCCUGAAGGUAUAUGCCUCAGCCAGGCCAGCAAACUGGGCCUCAUGAGUCUACAGAGACCCUUCCAGAUGAGCAUUGACAUGGGCUUUAAAACGCGUGCCUUCACAACCAUUUUGAUUCUCUUUGCUGUCUUCAUUGUCUGCUGGGCCCCGUUCACCACUUACAGCCUUGUGGCCACGUUCAGCAAGCACUUUUACUAUCAGCACAACUUUUUUGAGAUUAGCACCUGGCUACUCUGGCUCUGCUACCUCAAGUCUGCAUUGAACCCACUAAUCUACUACUGGAGGAUUAAGAAAUUCCAUGACGCCUGCCUGGACAUGAUGCCCAAGUCCUUCAAGUUUUUGCCGCGGCUCCCUGGUCACACGAGGCGACGGAUACGCCCCAGUGCUGUCUACGUGUGUGGGGAACAUCGGACGGUGGUGUGAAUGUGGGAACUGCCUGACAUUUGGGGUGAUGGAUCUUCUUUAUCUGACUUCGAAUUUCCUUUCUCAUGGCUUCUCCACUUAAAAUAUAUUGUUUUUCAUAGGGUGUGUGUAUAUGUGUGUAUGUGUGUGUGCAGUGUAAAGACAGAAUGGUGAUUAGUUAUAAUUCUGUUACCAAGGAUACACAGUAGGGAUGUGAUCACAAGUGUUACCUCCAGGGUUCAAGAGAAAUCCUUGAUUUAGGCUGGAGAGAUGGUUUUCUAUUCCUUCGAUCGAUUUUGUUUUUGUGGUGGGAAUCAGGAUUGUGCUUUAUUGAGCCUGCAGUUACACUGAAUUGUAGGCAUUUUGUAUGCUGCUAAGAAUAUGCUUAGUUGAGUUUAUCAAUUCUUUUAUUUUUUCUGGAAGACACUGCUGCUUUUUGUCAUCACAUUGGAGCCAAAAACCACAUACAUCUCAGUAGAUAAAUAUUUAGUUUUAUUUUAAAAAGUAACCCAUAGGGGUUAGUGACAUUUUAAAGGUCAUUAAUAUUUACUUUGGUGCACUUUAAGAAACAAUGUAUAAACUAAUCCAGUCAUGUUUUUCAGAAUUGUUUUUAUUCAUGACAUGUGCUUUAGGAAACAUCGCAUUAUUUCUAGGAAGAUAGGGUUUUUUUUUUAAUGUUUUAUUUGCAUAUACAGUCUUAAAGGGGAGAACAUAAAAAUGUAGAACUUUUUUCCUAAGCACAAUAGCUUUAGAGCAAUAGGGCAGAGUCAAGGAGAUAGCAGCACUCUUGCAAAUUUAAAAGGGAUGCAGUGACGGGGUGGCUGGUGCAGGCUGUGACGAUUCCAUUUACUCGAGGAUUCUCUGAGUCCAGUGCGGAGAAGGGGCACCAUUUAUUAGACAUCUGCCAUGUGCCAGGCACUGUGCAUCACUUUAUCCUCACAGUGUCCUGUGAGGGAGGGAUUAUUUCUGCCUUUUUACAGAUAAAGAAGGCAAGUUUCAGAGAGACUAAGCCCUGCCCAAGGUUCUCUAGACCUGGGAUCCAAAAAUCUAGAGUCCUGGGUCUUUGCAGUUCCACACACUGUACCACACAGACACCUCCUUCAGGUUUGGACGUUUCAUAGUCAAGAGGAAACUAUGUGUAUCCUUUCAUUUUUUUUUUUAAAGACUAAAACUUUUUUGAAAAUAGCUUCUUUUUUUUGUUGUUGUUUUACUAAAAGAAAUGUGAAGCCAUUACAGAAAGUCUGGAAAAUAGAAAAAAAAAUCACUCAUAACCACCUUUUUAAAGUGGAACUUAAAAAUCUUGACUAAAUAAGGCUAUAAGGAAAUAAGGCGCUUUUUUGGUUUGCAGAACGAGUGACAAUUAUUGAGAACUUAAAUACAGCUGUAUAUAGGUCUUAGCCUUGUGGAUCUGGAUGUUUUCAGUUGUCCAGCUGUAUUUCUCAGUGUUCUGGGCAGAAAGGCAUUGUCACCCCCAGUGCUUGCCCGGAGCAGAGCUGGCCUUUGUGAAUGUCCUCAGAGGCGUGUCUCUAAAAAGAGGUGAAGAUAAGCAGUGGUGCGAGCCUAGAGCAAGUUUUCAGCAGGUCUGGGAUUUGGAAUGACCUUUCUCUUGCUCACGAUCUGCCCCUGCCCCGCCCCAGGUGCAUCCUGAGCCUUACUUAGGUGCCCUUCUCUCUCCAGCCACUGGAACACUUUGUGAAACAGCCCUGGGGGAUGGGGCUUCAGACUGAGGCCGUAAGUGCUGAAGUGUAGCCUCGUGGCUACACCAUGGGCUUUAUAAAUCGGCAGGUUAACCAGGAACACUUUUUGGAUGUAUAGUAUCUUUUCAGAAUUUCAGUGCUUUGUGACCAGUAGACAGCGAGCCUUCAUUUCUUCAGUUGUACAACCGGAGAGUUGGAUUCUCUGAACCUUGAAGGUCUUGUCCAACUCUGAUGUGAAAGUAGAGAUUUUGAAGAGCCCAGCUGACGUCAGCAUUGCUCUUUGGUCUCCGGUAUUAUUUCUUUACAUUUCACUUCAGUAGAUGUUUCUUAAAAUUGAAUGUCUGAAGAGCACAGGGCACCAUAUCAGGAGUUAGGACUUUGGAAGGUGGAUGACAUCCUGAAGGACCUGGGAAACCCUGCUCUUGGGCAAUUGUCAUGGUAUGAGAACCCGUUUUCCAGUAAACUUCCUUUUUGGGAUUCAAGUAUGUUAUUCAACAUGUUGCUUGAGGGUCAUCUUCUGAUGAUAGUCACCUACCUCUUUGGUUUCUCAUUCGUAUUACUCACAGGUAAAAUUGCUUUUAUCCAUAGGGAUCUUAUAGGACGUAAACACUGUAGUAGAUAUCACUAGCACACUGAAGUGUAUCAUGCUUUUCAUUUUCAAUAUUAACUAGAUUUCAAGGAGAUGUUAAUAAGUAUAUUUGAAAUUAGACUUUCUCUGGAGGAAAGUCAGCAUGAUUUGUAUUCAUCUUACGUAUUGGCAGUGGGUCUUGAGACUCCUUUUGUGGUUGGAGUUGAAACUGACCUUUGUUGUCUUUGUCCUAUUUUUAUGAGCAAUCCUUGGGUAGUUUUGUGCUGCCUGGCAGGUGCUGCAUCGUCUGGUGAGAGCUCUGGAGUGCCUGCUAAGAGGCUCGGUGUUUGUGAAAGAAGGCCACGAAGGGCCUUUGGAGAAUUCAGGCAUAACACCGGACAGCAGUUCUCUUUACACUGGAUCAUCUCAAUCUGAGGACAGUUUACAAACCAUUUUGAACGUUUUCAUUAUGUAUACAUUUGGAAAGCUUUAAAACAAAGUACUGUGGUGUACCUUUGAAAAAUUUAGGUGCAGAAUCAUAUGCUGCCUAUUCUUCUAUAUUUUCUUGAGGGGAAAAAAAGUACCACUACUGUUAUCACCACAGGCUGAAUAAUCAGAAAUGUUUUUGCUUUUGUUUUUGUUUCUGGCUAGUAAGUAAGAAGCAUGAAAGAGAGAAUGAAAUAUCUGUGGUCAGAAGAAAGAGUCAAAAGAAACCCCCAAUAGUCUGGAAUAGUGAUACUCAGACUUUAAUCUGAAUUUGUGUCUAAGCGUUCCCAUGGGGGGCUUGUGAACAGUUCAGAUCCCCAGGGCCCCUGGAGGGUCUGCAAUUGGGCUCAGGAAUGCACACUUUUAUUCUGUUGGGUGUUUGGCCUGAUUCUGGUUCAGGUGGUCUCUGGGGCAUACUCUAAAAACACUUUCCUGUGGAAAAUAUAUCCACUUAAAAUAUUGUCUGUUUUAUUCAAAAAAUGUCUGUUUUGUGUUGGAAGCCAUUAUCUCCUAGUCCGUGGGCAACCCGCAGCAAGAGGAACAUCUGUGUAUCUACCAUUUGCCGCCUCGUGUGUCUGCGCCGGGUCUCACCAGCAUCGGCUUCACCGUCUUUCAACUGGCAAAAUUCUGAUAAACCGUAUAGUUUCACAGUAGAACAAAAAAAGUGACUUAAUAUUUGAAAGUCUCUCAGGAGUCUGAUUCCUCUAAUAUUUCUUUUCUCAUGAGGUGGAAAGAGGUCCUUACUGUGUGUAACUUCCUGAAGGGGAUGAGAGGAGUGCAAAGAUUCACCUGAUUCCUGCUGCUCUGCUUACGCCAGUCCUGUUCAAUGGAAGCAUGAAGAAAAUAAAAUAACCAUUUUAAUCUACACAUUUCGGUUGCUGACAAGGAUAUUUAACUUAAUUUUUUCUUGAUCUUUGCUUUUGUUUACAUGAAAAUAUUUAUGUAUAGAUCACAGGAAAAAAAAGUGUUCACUGGCUUGACAUUUUUAUUCUUCCAUGAUUUUUAGUUUAAGUUUAAAGAACUGCUUAAUUCCAAUUUAUUUUCACAACCAUAGUCUUCAUUGAAAACUCAAUUUUUAUAAUAAUAAAUGAAGACAUCAAAGCACAUGUUUGUUAUUACAGGUAAAUGGUGAUACAUUUCUUAGGUAUAUAUUGGUACUAGUCCUUUGUAAUUAAAAUUAAUUUAUUUUACAAUAGUACCGACCUAUAUGAAAAAAACACUUUGAAUUUUGGGUUGGUUGUAAUAUUAAGAAAUCAAAAGUUAUGAUUAUUUGUGUAUAUUCUUAUUACAACCAGGAAAAGAGCUCCCAAUAAGAAGAUGAAUAAAAGUUUACCAUUUCUAAAAGAAGGUUGGUUUACAAAAGAAGGUUGUCAUUCGAUCUACAUCUGAUAGUUCCUCCUGAAAUGGAAAGUUCAUCACCCAAACUUUACCACUAAAAAAACCAACUGAGCUUGUGGACAAAGGGACACAGGCAGGUCAGUGUGAGGAGGCCAGGAGCAGCUGCUCCCCAGUGUGGAGGCAGGCGGUCUGUUGUCUGCAGCCUGGACAUAAACCUCCGAGGGCAUCUGAGCUGGGUCUCCAUACCCACAGCUUGUCUGGAUUCGUCUGAUGAACAAAGUAGCUGCAAAUGCACAGAAGACGUUUCUCUCUGACGGGAAGAAAGAUGGAGUUUUCUUGGAUGACUUCCCCAAAGGGUGGAGGAGGACAUGACUCAUGGUGCAUUGACGAGCAGAUACAGAUGGACUGAUAACAGAAGUAAAAGCUGCUACUUCCUGCUGCUUAUGCAAAGGCCAUCCUCAGCCUGUCAUUUUCUGCGGCUCCACACAGCCCCUGAUGGUAGAACAGCUCUCCCCAAGGUUACGGAGGAUGCUGCAUCAGCAAAAUGAGAAGUUAUAGCUAGAAAGAAGACACGGUGUCCAGAGAACAGAGAUUCAACUCAAGAGUUGCAAGAAGGGAAGCAUCAGGAUGAUGAAGCAGAAAGGCAAAAUGGAAAAUCCUUCAUGCCCUACAAGAUGCGUCCCAUUAGGAGGACCAAUCUUAGAACAAGAGAGAUGCAGGAAAGAGAAGCCAACGCAAGGUUAUCUCGUUGCCCAUCAAGAACCAAACCCUUCAGAACCUCCUCUGGCUGUUGGCACAAUUCCAUGAGCACUACAGUUUCCUGAGAAGCCUGAAGCUGGCACCUUAAAUGUGUUACUGCUAAAUAAGUAGAAUGUGAGACAUUACAUAUCCAGUUUUGGUGAUGGAAGAUACCCAAGUAAUUGUCAUAAAUAUGCAAAUAUUCCCACCCUGAGCUCUGUGGAGGCUCAGGAGGAUGGAUUCAGGAGCGUCUUCUGCCUCCUGCCUGCAGUCCUUCAUGAGCCUUGUGGUUAUGCAGAAGGUCCACUCACCAGGACAAGGAACGUGGCUGGCAGAACGACUGCUUCUCUCAGAGGAUCAGCAGCUUAAAUUUGGUGCCUUGGGUAGCAUCGGCUUUAUGUUAAUUUUUAGUCCUCCUUCACUUUUUCUCCUGCUGUUUAUGAAAAGGUGUUUUAUUAUGUGAUUUGAUUCUGUUUGAAAUGAAGGCAGUAGGAGUCCCAGAGCUGAAAGAAGAUGCUGACGCUUGCAGCCCUCCUGGGUCUCCUUCUGCCUGAGAUGACAGUGCCCAGGCCCCAGCUAUGACAAGGAAGGAACAUGUCAGGUUCUGAUCGUCCUUUGCAUCCCCACCACUGCAUUUUCUUGUAGAAUGUGUUUAGUGCAAUUUAACAUUCUACUGUAAAGACAAUUUUCAAGAACUUGGUAAUAAUAGUUAUUAUUUUGUAAUUGGAGGUUACUACUGUUACUCCUGUUAAUGCAUUUUCUUUCCUGAAAGGAGACAGCACUGUCACAACAUGUCAAAAUGGUCAGUUUACUUUUCUCUCUCCUUCACCGUAUUUAAUUUUUUCCCCAUUGUUUCUGCAUCACCUGGAACUGCGAUGGGUACAGAGUAAACUGUUCAAUAAAUAUUGGCUGGAGGAGUGAAUGAUGAGGUCCUACGAAAUUAGCGGGACACAGAUGACAGGGAUGCAGCCAAAUACUUACAGACUUAGGCUGGUGAAAAGUGGUAUUAUUUGCAUGUGUUCUCCCCCACCUUCAACCUGCUCUUAGUUAACCGCAUCAUAUCCUUUGGGGAAAAUGAGUUUCUCAGGGAAGCCUUCUUUCAUGCUAUUUAUCUUUUAAGCUUUAUAAGUGCAGAGACCAAGGGGUUUUUGCCCAGCAUUCUAUUCCUGGCACUCAGUAGAGAGCCUGGCAUAUUACAGACACACAAUAAAUAUUUGCUGAAAAAUUACUCUACGUUCUGACUGCGCCUCUUUUCUCUACCUACUACCAAAGUGUCUAGACACUCAUCACAUUUCGUUUAGAACACUUCCGUGAUCUUCCUGCCGGACUUUCAUCCAGCCAGUCCACACUAGAAUUGGAUGCACACAGCUGCCAAAGUAAUUUUCACCAAGCUGUGUUCACGCCAUAAACUUCCUUAAGUCACCUUCAAAUUCCUCCUAUUUAUUAACUUGUAAACAGGGACAUUUAAGUUUUACACCAGUUGGUCGCCAUUAUCUUUUGAAAUCUCGUUUCUCCAUAGAAGUUCUUUGCACCACUCAAGCCAUUUUUGCUUUGUCUUUAAAUGUGUGCCUGCUUCUCUCUGGUUGUACCGACCAUCUUGUCUUUCUCUCCGUCAUGAAGGUUCAGGUCUUCAGAGUCAUGCUUUUUUGCAUAUCCCAUGUGCCUUACAGGUGUGGAAAAGACCCGGUACAUGUUUUAGCUCUAUGGAAGAUGAGCCCUCAAUAUUAAACAAAUAACAUGAGGAAAUGAAGCACACAGAGAGAGACUUGAAGUUAUCCAACAAUCUCCAUGAAACUGUUAAAUAAGCUGAUCAUAGGAAUAAAGGCUUCCUUGACUCCAGCAGGGAAAAGGGGAGAAAAGGAGCAGAAAGUGGGGGUCCCCACAGUGCUGCGUCACUGCUGCUGCACUGAUGCUCUGAGCUGGAGGAGGGAUGGAUGGAGGAUGAGUCUUGGAAGUGAGUGGGGGCACCUGGGGGUAGUGGGGGUGGAAGAUAAGUAAAGGCAGCUAAGGAUGAGCUCAGCUAUGUUCAAUCAGCUGGUGGAAGUGAAGGGCCCGCAGCCUGGUGAGAAUAUCCAACUAUUGUAGAAAGAAAUCAGAAGUCUAUCUUUGAAGUCUUGAGAAGUCCAUCUUACUAAAACUAAAUUGCCACUCAAGAUGUGUGGUGAUAUCCAUGGUCUAUCCAUCAUGGUUUUUGCCUUUUUUAAUAUGAUAGUUUGCCUCUGAAGACAGUUGGUUUUUUGAGACUAUAAGAUGAUCUUACCCCUUUGUAGUCUUUGCCUUUAAGUGGUGUAUUUAGAUCAUUCACAUUUAAAGUGAUUAUUGAUAUAGUUUGCUUCAUACCUGGCAUGUUUGUAACUGUUUUCUGUCAGUUGUUAUGUGGUCAGGCCAUUCAAGAUGACUGUUCUCUUGCUCUCUGUACAUCACCUGCUCAACCAGUGCCUGCCUCACCUACAGCUACACACGCGACUGACCUUCCUACAGACUUGCCUCAGCCUCAGCUGGUAAUUGUUCUAAGCUUUAGAUCAUAACAUCUCUACCUAUCAAAAGGGUGGUGAGGGGCGUGACCCUCUGCUAGUUUCCCUGGUAACUGAUAAGCCAAUCUGACAUCAAUUCCCCCUAUAACUGGCAAUCCUUCCCUCCUCUCUGGGAGCAAAGACUGCCGCCAUGUCCUGCCUGCUAUCUGCCACACGUAGUAGGGUGUACUUCCAGGACCUUGCUUCAGACAUGUAAGUUCCCCCUACCCAUUAAACCACUGAUUUCUCUUUUACUGACCCUGGGCUCUUUCUUCGGGCUUGAAGCUGGGCAAAUGGAGGCCUUACAGGCCUGCUGGCUGCAGCCCAACAAUUGGUGGAACCGCCAGGAAAGCUAGGAAGCUCCUGUGAGCGCCGAAAUGUCAGGAAACAAGAAUGGGGAAUGGAAAGUUGCAGGGGCCAUCCACUAACAUGUGUGGCCUGGAAGUUAUGGGUGUAAUUCUGAGGUGGCCGUCCACUAACACGUGUGGCCCAAAAGUUCCAGGGGUAACCCCGAAAGUUUCAGGGGUCAUCCUGGGGUGGCCAUCCAGGAAUAUGUGGGGCCCUGUGGUGGCUGUCCUUGGUGAGUGGGGGCCACCAAGAGAGUGCAAAGUCAGAGACUCCCCCUCCCCAGACUGUGGUGGAGAUGUUGGCCGCCACUGCAGUGGGGAAAUAAGUUAGGCAGUGGGGCAGUGGCCGCAGCUGCAGGGGGCCUGUUGCUUUUUGUAUUAAGAAGGGCCACAGAGGCUGAGCUUACAGUCAAAGGGAAGGUUAACUUGAAUGUGGAUUCUUGUUCCUCUGAAAGUGAGGCAUGUGAAUGUGAGUGAAUGAUAUGUAUUAUUGUCUAUUACUGUUAUUUGUUUAAACUGAA
Vicugna pacos (alpaca) is the source of this 9912-nucleotide non-coding RNA. Lineage: Eukaryota; Metazoa; Chordata; Mammalia; Artiodactyla; Camelidae. The record is from RefSeq and is a predicted model, not a curated record.